RNAcentral lists this ribosomal RNA (1001 nucleotides) under uncultured bacterium. Its description in RNAcentral is "bacterial SSU rRNA". It matches the Rfam family "Bacterial small subunit ribosomal RNA", at positions 30 to 1034 of the family's 1533-position model. The record is from RNAcentral.
GGGGCAUGUGCGGCGGCUAACACAUGCAAGUCGAGCGGAUGAAGGGAGCUUGCUCCCGGAUUUAGCGGCGGACGGGUGAGUAAUGCCUAGGAAUCUGCCUGGUAGUGGGGGACAACGACUCGAAAGGGUCGCUAAUACCGCAUACGUCCUACGGGAGAAAGUGGGGGAUCUUCGGACCUCACGCUAUCAGAUGAGCCUAGGUCGGAUUAGCUAGUAGGUGAGGUAAUGGCUCACCUAGGCAACGAUCCGUAACUGGUCUGAGAGGAUGAUCAGUCACACUGGAACUGAGACACGGUCCAGACUCCUACGGGAGGCAGCAGUGGGGAAUAUUGGACAAUGGGCGAAAGCCUGAUCCAGCCAUGCCGCGUGUGUGAAGAAGGUCUUCGGAUUGUAAAGCACUUUAAGUUGGGAGGAAGGGUUGUAGUUUAAUACGCUGCAAUCUUGACGUUACCAACAGAAUAAGCACCGGCUAACUCUGUGCCAGCAGCCGCGGUAAUACAGAGGGUGCAAGCGUUAAUCGGAAUUACUGGGCGUAAAGCGCGCGUAGGCGGCUUGAUAAGAUGGGUGUGAAAUCCCCGGGCUUAACCUGGGAACUGCAUCCAUAACUGUCUGGCUAGAGUACAGUAGAGGGUGGUGGAAUUUCCUGUGUAGCGGUGAAAUGCGUAGAUAUAGGAAGGAACACCAGUGGCGAAGGCGACCACCUGGACUGAUACUGACGCUGAGGUGCGAAAGCGUGGGGAGCAAACAGGAUUAGAUACCCUGGUUGUCCACGCCGUAAACGAUGUCUACUAGCCGUUGGAAUCCUUGAGAUUUUAGUGGCGCAGCUAACGCACUAAGUAGACCGCCUGGGGAGUACGGUCGCAAGAUUAAAACUCAAAUGAAUUUGACGGGGGCCCGCACAAGCGGUGGAGCAUGUGGUUUAUUUCGAGCACGCGAGAUCUUACCUGGUCUUGACAUGCAGAGACUUUCCAGAGAUGGAUUGUGCCUUCGGGACUCUGACC